GACGAACGCUGGCGGCGUGCUUAACACAUGCAAGUCGAACGGUAAGGCCCUUCGGGGUACACGAGUGGCGAACGGGUGAGUAACACGUGGGUGAUCUGCCCUGCACUUCGGGAUAAGCCUGGGAAACUGGGUCUAAUACCGGAUAGGACUACUGGCUUCAUGGGUGGGGGUGGAAAGCUUUUGCGGUGUGGGAUGGGCCCGCGGCCUAUCAGCUUGUUGGUGGGGUAAUGGCCUACCAAGGCGACGACGGGUAGCCGGCCCGAGAGGGUGACCGGUCACACUGGGACUGAGAUACGGCCCAGACUCCUACGGGAGGCAGCAGUGGGGAAUAUUGCACAAUGGGCGCAAGCCUGAUGCAGCGACGCCGCGUGAGGGAUGACGGCCUUCGGGUUGUAAACCUCUUUCAGCUAUGACGAAGCGCAAGUGACGGUAGUAGCAGAAGAAGGACCGGCCAACUACGUGCCAGCAGCCGCCGUAA
Molecule: ribosomal RNA, 478 nt
Filed under: uncultured bacterium
Lineage: Bacteria
Description: partial 16S ribosomal RNA
Rfam family: Bacterial small subunit ribosomal RNA
Source: RNAcentral